RNAcentral lists this transfer RNA (65 nucleotides) under Dipodomys ordii (Ord's kangaroo rat). It matches the Rfam family "tRNA". Rfam says of the family: Transfer RNA (tRNA) molecules are approximately 80 nucleotides in length. The record is from Rfam by way of RNAcentral. Lineage: Eukaryota; Metazoa; Chordata; Mammalia; Rodentia; Heteromyidae.
GGUGGUUCAGUGGUAGAGCGCUUGUCUUCCAUACAUGAGGCCCUGGGUUCAAUUCCUCAGCACCA